Molecule: ribosomal RNA, 496 nt
Filed under: Hypocreales sp. IMI 331582R
Lineage: Eukaryota; Fungi; Ascomycota; Sordariomycetes; Hypocreales
Description: SSU rRNA
Rfam family: Bacterial small subunit ribosomal RNA
Source: RNAcentral
AAGUGUUAAGUCUUUAAUUUUGUGCCUUAGCGUAACGCUUAAGUUAAGAACUUUAACGAAAAAUUAAAGAUUAAAUUAGUAUUGAAUGAAACUUUGUUUAUAUAUCGAUAAUGACGAUAUAUAUAUUAUGUCUUGACCAAUUACGUGCCAGCAGUCGCGGUAAUACGUAAGAAGCUAGUGUUAUUCAUCUUAAUUAGGUUUAAAGGGUACUCAAACGGUCAAUUAAUUAUAAAGACUAGAGUUAUAUAGAAGAAGGUAGUACCUUAAGUGUAGAGAUUAUAUUUGGUUAUACUUAAGGGACUUUGAAAAGGCGUAGGCAACCUUCUAAGUAAUAACUGACGUUGAAGGACGAAGGCAUAGGUCACGAACAGGAUUAGAUACCCAAGUAGUCUUUGCAGUCAAUGAUGAAUGCCAUAGGUUAGAUAAAAUUUUAGUCUAUAAAUGAAAGUGUAAGCAUUUCACCUCAAGAGUAAUGUGGCAACGCAAGAACUAAAAU